RNAcentral lists this ribosomal RNA (369 nucleotides) under uncultured phototrophic eukaryote. RNAcentral describes it as "SSU rRNA". It matches the Rfam family "Bacterial small subunit ribosomal RNA", at positions 524 to 896 of the family's 1533-position model. The record is from RNAcentral.
UACGGGGGAUGCAAGCGUUAUCCGGAAUCAUUGGGCGUAAAGCGCCUGUAGGUUGUUUAGUAAGUCUGUUGUUAAAGACCAGGGCUUAACCCUGGGAAAGCAAUGGAAACUACUAGACUUGAGUAUGGCAGGGGUAGAGGGAAUUUCUAGUGUAGCGGUGAAAUGCGUAGAUAUUAGAAAGAACACCGGCGGCGAAAGCGCUCUACUGGACCAUUACUGACACUCAGAGGCGAAAGCUAGGGGAGCAAAAGGGAUUAGAUACCCCUGUAGUCCUAGCCGUAAACGAUGGAUACUAGAUGUUGCGCAAUUUGUGCAGUAUCUUAGCUAACGCGUUAAGUAUCCCGCCUGGGGAGUACGCUCGCAAGGGUG